RNAcentral lists this small nuclear RNA (25 nucleotides) under Arabidopsis thaliana (thale cress). Its description in RNAcentral is "snRNA_03622". The record is from RNAcentral. Lineage: Eukaryota; Viridiplantae; Streptophyta; Magnoliopsida; Brassicales; Brassicaceae.
UGCGCUUUGAUGAUUAUAAUCGAAU